RNAcentral lists this ribosomal RNA (468 nucleotides) under uncultured bacterium. RNAcentral's name for it is "partial 16S ribosomal RNA". It matches the Rfam family "Bacterial small subunit ribosomal RNA", at positions 28 to 507 of the family's 1533-position model. The record is from RNAcentral.
GACGAACGCUGGCGGCGUGCUUAACACAUGCAAGUCGAACGGAAAGGCCCUGCUUGUGUGGGGUGCUCGAGUGGCGAACGGGUGAGUAACACGUGAGUAACCUGCCCUAGACUUUGGGAUAACUUCAGGAAACUGGGGCUAAUACCGGAUAGGAGCUCCUGCUGCAUGGUGGGGGUUGGAAAGUUUCGGCGGUUGGGGAUGGACUCGCGGCUUAUCAGCUUGUUGGUGGGGUAGUGGCUUACCAAGGCUUUGACGGGUAGCCGGCCUGAGAGGGUGACCGGCCACAUUGGGACUGAGAUACGGCCCAGACUCCUACGGGGGGAAGCAGUGGGGAAUAUUGCACAAUGGGCGGAAGCCUGAUGCAGCAACGCCGCGUGCGGGAUGACGGCCUUCGGGUUGUAACCCGCUUUCGCCUGUGACGAAGCGUGUGUGACGGUAAUGAGUAAAGAAGCACCGGCUAACUACGUG